Molecule: transfer RNA, 66 nt
Filed under: Gekko petricolus
Lineage: Eukaryota; Metazoa; Chordata; Lepidosauria; Squamata; Gekkonidae
Description: tRNA-Ala
Source: RNAcentral
AAGACUAGUAAUCUUUAAUCACAUCCUCUGACUGCAAAUCAGACACUUUAAUUAAGCUAUAGCCUC